This is a long non-coding RNA of Oryzias melastigma (Indian medaka), 1797 nucleotides long. RefSeq lists it as uncharacterized. NCBI's taxonomy places the organism in Eukaryota, Metazoa, Chordata, Actinopteri, Beloniformes, Adrianichthyidae. The transcript is spliced from 3 exons. The record is from RefSeq and is a predicted model, not a curated record.
GGGAAAUAACUGACCGAUAGAGCCCGCCUACCACCGGCGGCGGCGGCCAAUCAGCUUCUCGAGCGCCUCAUCGUGUUGAACCGCCGUCCAAUCAGCGGCUUUUGAGUCCGCCGGCCAGCCAAUGGGAAGCUAACACUGCCCCUCCUGCUUUACUGCAGAAUUCCGUGUCUUGCAGCCCGCAGCAUCGAGAGUCUAGGCUGAAAUUUUGUGUAACGGACGAACAAGAAAGAUCCUGCAGAAGCAGUCAGCCCAUCACAUCUGAUAAAAGAAGUCCAACUAAUUCCCUGAAAAAUGCAGCUCAUUUUGGGGCUUUCUUUUCUUUAGCCAUGGCAACAUUACAAAAUAAAAUACCUGAUGAGAGAGGUAAAGAAAGAAGAACAUCGUCUGUGUCAGCACUGCAGGCUCAAUGUCUGCUUGGCCGGAGGAGAGAGGAGACGUCUUUGUUCGAUUCAUCCAGAAAUGAGACGUCAGCAUAUUCCAGCUGGAGUAAAAGGACUGUUAUGUUACCAGACUUGGAGAAUGUGAAUUUUUAUUUUGUUAACACAUGUGCAAAGAGUAAAUAAGAUGAAAGUGUAAUGAGAAGGGCAGAUGAGUGGUGGGCUGAAGAGUGUGUUAUGUAACAGCCACUUCUCAGUCUCUGUUAUAGUGUUAUCACGCUUAACACUUCAACGCAGGGGCGAUGUUAAGCUGUCAAGGUCAGCUGCUUUUACUUUAAGCGCUACGCUUAUGAAUUAUAUUAUUUAGUCGGAGCACAUGAAUCUGAGUUCGUUCCCAUCUUUAAACAGAAAACACAGACAAUUAAAUGGUGAUUUGGGUUAUACAAAAGAACCAAGAACGAUGCAACUGGAGAUGAAAGCAUUAAAUAUUAACCAGCAUUUUAAACCAACUGACACCACGACUUCCCACUCGAAUAUCGCACACAGACAUGCAAACAAUGCUGCAAACAUACAAAUACAUUAGAGCAGCAGCAAGACUGUUCAAGUGGUUCCUGAAUUUAAGUGAAAGGACUAUAGAAAUAGACUAACAAAAAGGGAAGAUACUGGAAUGUACAUUAAAAAAAGAAGGAAAGAGACAAAGCUUUAAAGACUCGAUCAUUUUUUGAUCUAUUGUAGAAGCGUUCCCAGUGGUUCUUUCAUUACGAUUAUGCCGUUUUUAGUCAAAAUUAAAAAAAAACAUGCAGUUUUCUAGGACACAGUUUCUGCAGAGCGGCACUAGUUCAUAAGAAAUUUACCUCUGAGUUGUGAGAGAGACUAGUGGCAUGACCCAACUUCCCAUCAUCCAUCUUUUUACAUGGUUCCCUGUUAGCUUACAGCCCUACACAACCCCAACCUAAUAUUACCAGUGCAACAAAAGCUAUCGGAGCUGUUCACCUGUACAGUUUGGAGCAAAAAUAAAUAAAGACGUACAUGGAUCUAGUCGUCUACGAGUGGACGCUUCAGAAUGGGGUGGCAUCAUGGAGCUUAUGGCUCACCACUGUAGGUUCUAUAUGUCCAAAACAAGCUUUUUUUGCAUCUGUUUGAGAUUCACCACAAUUUGAACAAAGAAAUACUUAGAGAGGCAAUUUUAAGCUUAUAUUUUUUAAAUAUAUGUCAUAAAUAAAAUGCUACAAGAACAUCAGAUUUUCAUCAAAGUGGAUCUUUAAAUGUAAAAUUAUGUAUUUAAUUUUUAAGUCAAAUCAUUUCAAUCUGGAAAGGUGGUAACAUCUCUUCUUGUUUUCAUUUAGGUUCAUAUCUGUACUAAAAGCAUUUUUUUACUGUCUUGUUCAAAGAAAUAAAGUUUGGUGCUAACAGUUCAUCA